UUGUCUUAGCCAUCCUUCUUUCCAGGAAUUAUCUGGACAUCCUGUUUUAGGUUUCGGUAGACUAUAUUCACCUGUAGGCCAACGUGCUGAAAGAAAUCUGUAUCUGAAAUUUGUAUCUUACGCCUUACGGAUAAACAUAUUUACAAACGAACAACUUUGUAACAUCUUUGAGUGCAAGUGAUAUAACCGGUUUUAUAUUUUGGUCGGUACAAUUGAUCCAUCAUAACAAGAGUCAACUUUGUUUUCAACAUCCUUGUAUCGUCUUGUAUCGCAUUCAAAACACAGCUCUUUGGAUUUACUUCAAUUGAAUUUGUUAAUUCUGCUGUUUCGAAAGCUUCCAUGUGCCUCGGCAAUUGGUCUCGCCCUGCCAUUGACACAUAGCAUUUGAGGAACUGCUUGACAAAGAGGCUUAGCCAGUAUAGUCUACUUGCAGAAAGGAUUACCGUGAUAAGGGCAAUCGAAUUGUAUUAUGGCAUACCCCAGUCGCAUAGGCGGCCAAAACUCCCACCCCUUGCCACUGGCUUGUCAGACAUUGUAUAUUGUCUCAUAAACCUACUUUUUAAUUUAAAUUACAUUCAAUAAUAAUUAACUAAUUCUUGCGAUAUUUUUAUGUGAAAAAUUAUAACAAAUAUUUUGACUAAA
Molecule: long non-coding RNA, 642 nt
Organism: Xenia sp. Carnegie-2017
Lineage: Eukaryota; Metazoa; Cnidaria; Anthozoa; Malacalcyonacea; Xeniidae
Exons: 2
Source: RefSeq, a predicted model, not a curated record